RNAcentral lists this ribosomal RNA (467 nucleotides) under uncultured bacterium. RNAcentral's name for it is "partial 16S ribosomal RNA". It matches the Rfam family "Bacterial small subunit ribosomal RNA", at positions 28 to 507 of the family's 1533-position model. The record is from RNAcentral.
GACGAACGCUGGCGGCGUGCUUAACAAAUGCAAGUCGAACGGAAAGGCCCCAGCUUGCUGGAGUACUCGAGUGGCGAACGGGUGAGUAAAACGUGGGUAAUCUGCCCUGCACUCUGGGAUAAGCCCGGGAAACUGGGUCUAAUACUGGAUAUGACCUUUCUCCUUAUGGGGUUUGGUGGAAAGUUUUUCGGUGUAGGAUGAGCCCGCGGCCUAUCAGCUUGUUGGUGGGGUGAUGGCCUACCAAGGCGACGACGGGUAGCCGGCCUGAGAGGGUGAUCGGCCACAUUGGGACUGAGAUACGGCCCAGACUCCUACGGGAGGCAGCAGUGGGGAAUAUUGCACAAUGGGCGGAAGCCUGAUGCAGCGACGCCGCGUGAGGGAUGACGGCCUUCGGGUUGUAAACCUCUUUCAGCAGGGACGAAGCGUAAGUGACGGUACCUGCAGAAGAAGCACCGGCUAACUACGUG